This 217-nucleotide unclassified non-coding RNA is filed under the name Hevea brasiliensis (rubber tree). Lineage: Eukaryota; Viridiplantae; Streptophyta; Magnoliopsida; Malpighiales; Euphorbiaceae. The record is from RNAcentral.
GCACCAAAUCCCCCCACCAUGGAUCACCGCCUCCUCCUCCUCGGCCUCCUCCUCCUCUCCCCGGCGGUGGCCGCCGCCUCAGUCCCCGGCGAGGAGGAGCCGCUGAUCCGGCAGGUGGUCGGCGGCGGCGACGACAACGAGCUGGAGCUGAACGCGGAGCGCCACUUCGCCAGCUUCGUCCAGAGGUUCGGGAAGUCCUACCGUGACGCCGACGAGC